This 380-nucleotide ribosomal RNA is filed under the name Bathycoccus sp. RNAcentral's name for it is "partial small subunit ribosomal RNA". It matches the Rfam family "Eukaryotic small subunit ribosomal RNA", at positions 582 to 973 of the family's 1831-position model. The record is from RNAcentral. Lineage: Eukaryota; Viridiplantae; Chlorophyta; Mamiellophyceae; Mamiellales; Bathycoccaceae.
AUUCCAGCUCCAAUAGCGUAUAUUUAAGUUGUUGCAGUUAAAAAGCUCGUAGUUGGAUUUUGGUUAAGAGGGCGCGGUCGGCCGUUUGGUCUGUACUGCGUUGUCUUGACUUCCUGAUGAGGACAUGCUCCUGGUUAACGCUGAGACAUGGAGUCAUCGUGGUUACUUUGAAAAAAUUAGAGUGUUCAAAGCGGGCUUACGCUUGAAUAUAUUAGCAUGGAAUAACACUAUAGGACUCCUGUCCUAUCUCGUUGGUCUCGGGAUGGGAGUAAUGAUUAAGAGGAACAGUUGGGGGCAUUCGUAUUUCAUUGUCAGAGGUGAAAUUCUUGGAUUUAUGAAAGACGAACUUCUGCGAAAGCAUUUGCCAAGGAUGUUUUCAU